CCUACGGGAGGCAGCAGUGGGGAAUAUUGGACAAUGGGCGCAAGCCUGAUCCAGCAAUGCCGCGUGUGUGAAGAAGGCCUUCGGGUUGUAAAGCACUUUUAUGAGCAGUGCGGUACCCGAUGAAUAAGCACCGGCUAACUUCGUGCCAGCAGCCGCGGUAAUACGAAGGGUGCAAGCGUUAAUCGGAAUUACUGGGCGUAAAGCGUGCGUAGGCGGUCUUUUAAGUCCGUUGUGAAAGCCCUGGGCUCAACCUGGGAAUGGCAGUGGAUACUGGAAGGCUAGAGUGCGGUAGAGGAGGGUGGAAUCCCCGGUGUAGCGGUGAAAUGCGUAGAGAUCGGGAGGAACAUCAGUGGCGAAGGCGGCCCUCUGGACCAGACUGACGCUGAGGCACGAAAGCGUGGGGAGCAAACAGGAUUAGAUACCCUUGUAGUC
This 432-nucleotide ribosomal RNA is filed under the name uncultured bacterium. RNAcentral describes it as "partial 16S ribosomal RNA". It matches the Rfam family "Bacterial small subunit ribosomal RNA", at positions 338 to 795 of the family's 1533-position model. The record is from RNAcentral.